UGGGGAAUUUUGGACAAUGGGCGCAAGCCUGAUCCAGCAAUGCCGCGUGCAGGAUGAAGGCCUUCGGGUUGUAAACUGCUUUUGUACGGAACGAAAAGGCUCUGGAUAAUACCUGGGGCCCAUGACGGUACCGUAAGAAUAAGCACCGGCUAACUACGUGCCAGCAGCCGCGGUAAUACGUAGGGUGCGAGCGUUAAUCGGAAUUACUGGGCGUAAAGCGUGCGCAGGCGGUAAUGCAAGACAGAUGUGAAAUCCCCGGGCUUAGCCUGGGAACUGCAUUUGUGACUGCAUUGCUGGAGUGCGGCAGAGGGGGAUGGAAUUCCGCGUGUAGCAGUGAAAUGCGUAGAUAUGCGGAGGAACACCGAUGGCGAAGGCAAUCCCCUGGGCCUGCACUGACGCUCAUGCACGAAAGCGUGGGGAGCAAA
RNAcentral lists this ribosomal RNA (425 nucleotides) under uncultured bacterium. Its description in RNAcentral is "bacterial SSU rRNA". It matches the Rfam family "Bacterial small subunit ribosomal RNA", at positions 355 to 772 of the family's 1533-position model. The record is from RNAcentral.